Molecule: long non-coding RNA, 2166 nt
Organism: Rattus rattus (black rat)
Lineage: Eukaryota; Metazoa; Chordata; Mammalia; Rodentia; Muridae
Exons: 2
Source: RefSeq, a predicted model, not a curated record
UCUGGUCUCAGGAAUGCAGGCUGCCCUGGCAUCUCCUGCUGACCUUUCCACACAGAGCCUCACUAGCACUGCUUAGGGGUGACCAUUAACUGCGAUCCCAACCUUAGGAGCCUCAACAGGGUCUUUAGCUUCCAGCCUGUCGCCUGCCUCAGUUACCUUCCUUCCUGCCUACUCAAGCCAGGUGAGAGCAGGGCCAGUCUGAGGCACUGGGUAAACAAGUCAGCACCACAGGGUGCAGGGAGGGGAGGGGGCGCUGUUCUGGAGGGCGGCCCACACCUAGUCUCCUGCCAUCCAGUGCUGACCUAGACUGCUGCCUUAUCACCUCUCUCACCAUGUCAGACACCUGAGGAAUUAGGGUUAAAUCAGAUCUGGGUAACUGCUGGGGCAACACCCUGCAGUGAGUGUCUGAGGCUAACCUGGUCACUUACACAGAGAAAGCACAUGAAACUGGGGUGUGGAGUGCUUAGACCAGCAUGUAAGGGACCCAGCAUCAAAUUCCAGGCUCACGCAACAAGGAAACCUUAAGUGUCUAUGCCACAGGGUUGACCUCUGAGCAGAACCCCCCACCCCCACUGUACAGUGGGAAAUGAUACAUUACAGCUUGACCUGGGCCCUGCCCAGGCUGUAGGCUGUGGCUCUGUUCCCAGGAAGGGCUAGGACCUGCCCGUAAGCUACAUUCUGUGCUUGGCUCCCGGCAGUGCAAAGGUCCGCUGAACCCCAGACAGAAAGCCACUGGGUUUUCCUACCCAGGACAGAAUAAAUCAACUGCUUCCAUCUUGCCAGGGGACAGUUACCUGUACCCAAGAGCCAGCCUCAUGGGAGCACCUCAAGAUGCUUUGAUGGCCCGGUGCCCUUUUGAGCCUCAAUCAGGCAAGGACCUAAGGCCAGAAUGGGCCAAACUCCAUGCUGGGAGCAAGCUGAAUGUGCUGGGCCCUGGCCACUGGAAAUCCCAUCAAGAAUGAUAAUCCACAGUCCUCACUCCCAGGCAAGUCCCUGACCAGUCCUAGAACAGAUGAGCGCAGCCUCAAGUUCUGGUCCCAGCCCAGAGGGGACUUCCAUCUCCUUCCUUUGCUAGGGUCACUGCCAGGGUCGUCUGAUACAGCCCCUGUGGAGUAUGGAGAGCCUGCAAGCUCACCCCAAGGGGGACAGGGACUGCUGGGGACAUCUGACUGAGACUCCUCCAAACCUAGGGAGGGGAACUGCCACUCAGAAACUCCCCACCCACCCUCCAUGUGUGAUCCCAGGCAGUCCGCCAAGCUUAGGACACAUCACUCCCAGGCACCUCUGUACCCCAAGAAACCCACAGGCUCACCGCUCAUCCCCCUUCCAAACCACGUCUUCCAAGCCUUGAGGUCAGCAACUCGGCAACUCCUCCACCCCAAGGUUGUCUCCCAAUCCCUUCUCCAUCCUCACACCACCAAAUUUCUAGCCACCUCACUCCCACCCACAUUCCCAAACUUGCGGCCCUCCUGCCAGGCACUUCUGUAUCCCAAAUCUCCUGAGCCACCUCCCCACAUGGUCCCCCAAGCAUGGACAUACUGAAAUGGUAGCUCCUCCCACUCUAGUCCCCCUAGUAGCCCCAAACCUUGGAGACAGCCUUUCAGGAACCCAGGUAACACUAAAGUGGCAGGUCUCUCUAACUAGAUGCCCUCCUAAUUUAGGGACUGUGACUCCCACCCUGUUCCCAGAGUGGAUACACCAAGAUUGCAGUUCCAUUGACUCCCAGGUUUUCCAAAUUUGGGAACUCCCCAAAGUGGCAGCUUCUUCGGCCGCCAGAUCUCUCCAAACCUGGAGAAAGCCACCCGCAACACUGCUGUCCACCACCCGGGUCCCACAAACCUCUCCCAGAUAUCCUGCAAUUCCCUCCUGCCCAUGAUUACUUUCCAGCCCUGUCUCUCAGGUGGAGGAAUCCUCAACGUGGUGGCUUCUUUUAUCCUCAGGCCCCAACACCAGGAGGAAUUCAAUCUCCAGGGUUGCUUCCCAGCCCUGUUACCCAGGCGGAGACAUCAAUAUGGUCAAGAUAAUAGCUCUUCGACCCUGGACGCCCCUACUCAACCUUGGAGAUGUUGCCCCAGAAUCUGUCUUCCAGCUUCAGGGUCACCUCCUCCCACACUUCCCUAACUCCCCCAAACCUAAGCCAAUUAUAGUCAUUGUUGUAUCCCCAAA